GAGUUUGAUCAUGGCUCAGAACGUACGCUGGCGGCACGCCUAACACAUGCAAGUCGAACGAAGUAGCAAUACUUAGUGGCAGACGGGUGAGUAACAUGUAGGUAUCUGCCCUUUGGCCUGGAAUAACACGAGGAAACUUGUGCUAAUACCGGAUAAGUCUUUACGGAGAAAGCUUUAUGCACCAUUGGAUGAGCCUGCACUUGAUUAGUUUGUUGGUGGGGUAAUGGCCUACCAAGACUUUGAUCAAUAGCUGAUUUGAGAGGAUGAUCAGCCACAUUGGGACUGAGACACGGCCCAAACUCCUACGGGAGGCAGCAGUGGGGAAUCUUGCACAAUGGAGGAAACUCUGAUGCAGCGAUGCCGCGUGAGUGAAGAAGGCCCUUGGGUUGUAAAGCUCUUUCGUCGGGGAAGAAAAUGACUGUACCCGAAUAAGAAGGCCCGGCUAACUUCGUGCCAGCAGCCGCGGUAAUACGAAGGGACCUAGCGUAGUUCGGAAUUACUGGGCUUAAAGAGUUCGUAGGUGGUUGAAAAAGUUGGUGGUGAAAUCCCAGAGCUUAACUCUGGAACUGCCAUCAAAACUUUUCAGCUAGAGUAUGAUAGAGGAAAGCAGAAUUUCUAGUGUAGAGGUGAAAUUCGUAGAUAUUAGAAAGAAUACCAAUCGCGAAGGCAGCUUUCUGGAUCAUUACUGACACUGAGGAACGAAAGCAUGGGUAGCGAAGAGGAUUAGAUACCCUCGUAGUCCAUGCCGUAAACGAUGUGUGUUAGACGUUGGAAAUUUAUUUUCAGUGUCGCAGCGAAAGCGAUAAACACACCGCCUGGGGAGUACGACCGCAAGGUUAAAACUCAAAUGAAUUGACGGGGACCCGCACAAGUAGUGGAGCAUGUGGUUUAAUUCGAAGAUACGCGCAGAACCUUACCAACACUUGACAUGUUCGUCGCGACUCUAAGAGAUUAGAGUUUUCGGUUCGGCCGGACGAAACACAGGUGCUGCAUGGCUGUCGUCAGCUCGUGUCGUGAGAUGUUGGGUUAAGUCCCGCAACGAGCGCAACCCUCACUUUUAGUUGCCAUCAUUAAGUUGGGCACUCUGAAAGAACUGCCAGUGAUAAGCUGGAGGAAGGUGGGGAUGACGUCAAGUCCUCAUGGCCCUUACGUGUUGGGCUACACACGUGCUACAAUGGUAUCUACAACAGGAAGCAAGACGGCGACGUUAAGCAAAUCCUUAAAAGAUACCUCAGUUCGGAUUGCACUCUGCAACUCGAGUGCAUGAAGCUGGAAUUACUAGUAAUCGUGGAUCAGCGUGCCACGGUGAAUGCGUUCCCGGGUCUUGUACACACCGCCCGUCACACCAUGGGAGUUGGUUCUACCUUAAGGCAAGGUUUAAUACCCUUGACCACGGUAUAGUCAGCGACUGGGGUGAAGUCGUAACAAGGUAACC
Molecule: ribosomal RNA, 1435 nt
Filed under: uncultured marine bacterium
Lineage: Bacteria
Description: bacterial SSU rRNA
Rfam family: Bacterial small subunit ribosomal RNA
Source: RNAcentral